CCGAUGUAAAGCCGUCGCAGAUGGACGUGGACACAGCAAUGAAAACAGCGUUAUUUCACGCCCCGUCUGAUCG
Molecule: small nucleolar RNA, 73 nt
Filed under: Trypanosoma cruzi
Lineage: Eukaryota; Euglenozoa; Kinetoplastea; Trypanosomatida; Trypanosomatidae
Description: C/D small nucleolar RNA (snoRNA), TB11C2C2, 5' partial
Rfam family: Small nucleolar RNA TBR5
About the family: TBR5 is a member of the C/D class of snoRNA which contain the C (UGAUGA) and D (CUGA) box motifs. Most of the members of the box C/D family function in directing site-specific 2'-O-methylation of substrate RNAs.
Source: RNAcentral